CUACGGAGGGUGCAAGCGUUAUUCGGAAUCACUGGGCGUAAAGGACACGUAGGCGGGAAGCCAAGUCUGAUGUGAAAUCCUACAGCUUAACUGUAGAACUGCAUUGGAAACUGGUUACCUAGAGUAUGGGAGGGGGAGAUGGAAUUAGUGGUGUAGGGGUAAAAUCCGUAGAUAUCACUAGGAAUACCUAAAGCGAAGGCGAUCUCCUGGAACAUUACUGACGCUAAGGUGUGAAAGCGUGGGGAGCAAACGGGAUUAGAAACCCCAGUAGUCC
This 274-nucleotide ribosomal RNA is filed under the name uncultured bacterium. RNAcentral describes it as "partial 16S ribosomal RNA". It matches the Rfam family "Bacterial small subunit ribosomal RNA", at positions 523 to 796 of the family's 1533-position model. The record is from RNAcentral.